This 521-nucleotide ribosomal RNA is filed under the name Macaca arctoides (stump-tailed macaque). RNAcentral's name for it is "partial 12S ribosomal RNA". It matches the Rfam family "Bacterial small subunit ribosomal RNA", at positions 789 to 1533 of the family's 1533-position model. The record is from RNAcentral. Lineage: Eukaryota; Metazoa; Chordata; Mammalia; Primates; Cercopithecidae.
ACUAUGCUUGGCCCUAAACCUCAGUAGUUAGAUAACAAAACUACUCGCCAGAAUACUACAAGCAACAGCUUGAAACUCAAAGGACUUGACGGUGCUUUACAUCCCCCUAGAGGAGCCUGUUCUAUAAUCGAUAAACCCCGAUCCACCCCACCCUCUCUUGCUCAGCCUAUAUACCGCCAUCUUCAGCAAACCCUAAUGAAGGUCACAAAGUGAGCGCAAACGCCGCCGCCGCCGCGAAUACGUUAGGUCAAGGUGUAGCCUAUGAGACGGUAAAAAAUGGGCUACAUUUUCUAUCUCAGAAAAUUCCACGAAAACCCUUAUGAAAUUUAAAGGUCUAAGGAGGAUUUAGCAGUAAAUUAAGAAUAGAGUGCUUAAUUGAACCAGGCCAUAAAGCGCGCACACACCGCCCGUCACUCCUCUCAAAUAUACUUAAGGAAUAUCUUAACUAAACGCCCUAAUAUUUAUAUAGAGAGGAUAAGUCGUAACAUGGUAAGCGUACUGGAAGGUGCGCUUGGAUAAAU